This 245-nucleotide ribosomal RNA is filed under the name uncultured bacterium. RNAcentral's name for it is "partial small subunit ribosomal RNA". It matches the Rfam family "Bacterial small subunit ribosomal RNA", at positions 26 to 285 of the family's 1533-position model. The record is from RNAcentral.
AGAAUCAACGCUGGCGGCGCGCCUAACACAUGCAAGUCGCACGAGAAAGGGUAGCAAUACCUGAGUAAAGUGGCGCACGGGUGAGUAACACGUGACUAAUCUACCCUCGAGUGGGGAAUAACUGAGAGAAAUCUUAGCUAAUACCGCAUAACACUUACGAGUCAAAGCAGCAAUGCGCUUGGGGAGGAGGUCGCGGCCGAUUAGCUAGUUGGCGGGGUAAUGGCCCACCAAGGCGAUGAUCGGUA